GUAGUCUCGCACAGAUGCAUAUCAAUAAGCGGAGGAAAAGAAACUAACAAGGAUUCCCCUAGUAACGGCGAGUGAAGCGGGAAGAGCUCAAAUUUGAAAUCUUAAAGGGUUUCCCUUUACGAAUUGUAGUUUAAAGAAGUGUUUUCUGUUGAGGUUUUGGUAAAAGUUCUUGGAAUAGGACAUCAUAGAGGGUGAGAAUCCCGUAUUUGACCUUUACUUUCAACUUUGUGAUACACUUUCAAAGAGUCGGAUUGUUUGGGAAUGCAGUCCAAAAUGGGUGGUAAAUUUCAUCUAAAGCUAAAUAUUGGCGAGAGACCGAUAGCGAACAAGUACCGUGAGGGAAAGAUGAAAAGAACUUUGAAAAGAGAGUUAAACAGUACGUGAAAUUGUCAAAAGGGAAGCGUUUGACACCAGUGUUGUUUUUCUGAAAAUCAAUUAAAGAACUGUUUAUGCUAAGUUGUUUAGACUUUAUCAGCUAACUGUUUAGUUUUGAGCUUUUCUUUAAUGCACUUUUCAGUUAACAAGUCAACAUCAAUUUCUUUUGCUGUAAAAAAGCUUGAGGAAGGUGGCUUGAGAUUCGUCUUAAGUGUUUAUAGCCUCUUGCCUAUGCAGUCGGAGAGAUUGAGGUCUGCAGCGUAGAUCCUUCGGGGCUAAAUGCAUUUGUGCUAAGUUAUAACAUUUUAUAGACAACUUGUUGACUAUGAUUUGUCUUGUAGCUUACUCGCUUAUGUUAUUUUACCUACGCUUAGGAUGUUGAUCUGUAGUGCGUGCGC
This 773-nucleotide ribosomal RNA is filed under the name uncultured Neocallimastigales. RNAcentral describes it as "partial large subunit ribosomal RNA". It matches the Rfam family "Eukaryotic large subunit ribosomal RNA", at positions 24 to 646 of the family's 3401-position model. The record is from RNAcentral. Lineage: Eukaryota; Fungi; Neocallimastigomycota; Neocallimastigomycetes; Neocallimastigales.